RNAcentral lists this ribosomal RNA (662 nucleotides) under uncultured bacterium. RNAcentral describes it as "bacterial SSU rRNA". It matches the Rfam family "Bacterial small subunit ribosomal RNA", at positions 97 to 776 of the family's 1533-position model. The record is from RNAcentral.
GGCGAACGGGUGCGUAACACGUGAGGAACUUGUCCCGGUCUCUGGGAUAACAGUUGGAAACGACUGCUAAUACCGGAUGACGUCGGAGCGUCGCAUGGCGCGCUGACGAAAGGGUUACUGGAUCGGGAGAGCCUCGCGGCCUAUCAGCUUGUUGGUGGGGUAACGGCCUACCAAGGCAUCGACGGGUAGCUGGUCUGAGAGGAUGAUCAGCCACACUGGGACUGAGACACGGCCCAGACUCCUACGGGAGGCAGCAGUGGGGAAUCUUGCGCAAUGGGCGAAAGCCUGACGCAGCAACGCCGCGUGCGGGAAGAAGGCUCUCGGGUUGUAAACCGCUUUCAGAAGGAACGAAACUGACGGUACUUUCAGAAGAAGGUGCGGCCAACUACGUGCCAGCAGCCGCGGUGACACGUAGGCACCAAGCGUUGUCCGGAUUUAUUGGGCGUAAAGAGCUCGUAGGCGGUUCAGUAAGUCAGGUGUGAAAUCUUUGGGCUUAACCCAAAGCGUGCACUUGAUACUGCUGUGACUUGAGUUCGGUAGGGGAGUGGGGAAUUCCUAGUGUAGCGGUGAAAUGCGCAGAUAUUAGGAGGAACACCGGUGGCGAAGGCGCCACUCUGGGCCGAAACUGACGCUGAGGAGCGAAAGCGUGGGUAGCAAACANG